GGCGCUAUCGUCUAGUGGUUAGGACGGGAGAUUCUCAGUCUUCAAACCAGGGUUCGACUCCCUGUAGCGCUA
Molecule: transfer RNA, 72 nt
Filed under: Spirochaetes bacterium DG_61
Lineage: Bacteria; Pseudomonadati; Spirochaetota
Also listed under: 1 other name
Description: tRNA-Glu
Rfam family: tRNA
About the family: Transfer RNA (tRNA) molecules are approximately 80 nucleotides in length. Their secondary structure includes four short double-helical elements and three loops (D, anti-codon, and T loops). Further hydrogen bonds mediate the characteristic L-shaped molecular structure. tRNAs have two regions of fundamental functional importance: the anti-codon, which is responsible for specific mRNA codon recognition, and the 3' end, to which the tRNAs corresponding amino acid is attached (by aminoacyl-tRNA synthetases). tRNAs cope with the degeneracy of the genetic code in two manners: having more than one tRNA (with a specific anti-codon) for a particular amino acid; and 'wobble' base-pairing, i.e. permitting non-standard base-pairing at the 3rd anti-codon position.
Source: RNAcentral